RNAcentral lists this long non-coding RNA (526 nucleotides) under Apteryx owenii (little spotted kiwi). Its description in RNAcentral is "lncRNA (ENSAOWG00000006541.1)". Lineage: Eukaryota; Metazoa; Chordata; Aves; Apterygiformes; Apterygidae. The record is from RNAcentral.
AUUGGUACAGCAAGAAAACCCACUCCAACAUUUCUGUAAUUAACGUGGAGGCCAGUUUAUUCCAUUCCUCUAAAUGCUUCCUGUUAUUCUUCCUGUACUUGCCUCUGUCUAGGUGGAUGCGUUUGCUGCUAAAGCAGUUUUUGAAUGUUGUGUCCUUGGUUUCCUCAAAAUGGCUGAAAAUCCCUCAGGCCUAUGUGAAUGCUUGGAGAGCCUCUAGGAUGGCUUUAUUAAAGCUCAGCUGCUGCUGCUUGCUUGGACUGUUAUGGGAGAACCUUUCAGCCUAGCAGGUCUUCCUAGCCUGGUCUUUAGGUUGUGGCACCGCUCAAAUUCCUUCUUAGCUGCCCAUGCAGCAUGCAAGGCUCAGGGGAUGGUGGAGUUUUGGCCUUUCCUGUACAGAAUGGUGGAAGAUUCAAAGCUCCAAGAGAUUGCAGAUGUUCUCUGUAACAGAAAACUGGAAAUACUUCACAUAAAAUGGCAUUGCAUAACUUCUCAGAUGCCUGAUGUUACACUGGAUGAAGAAAGCUGA